Molecule: long non-coding RNA, 474 nt
Organism: Rhea pennata
Lineage: Eukaryota; Metazoa; Chordata; Aves; Rheiformes; Rheidae
Exons: 3
Source: RefSeq, a predicted model, not a curated record
UGCUGAAAUCGAAGGAAACUGGGUUCCACAGAAGCUCAUUGUGGAGGCUUGUCCUUCUGAAGAGAUGACCAUUAGAUGAACAGCCAGUGAAAACAGGAAUCUCUAGUUACUUUUCUAGCCAUCCUGCUCUGAAUAUGGGACACAGUCCCAUGUUUCCUUUUGAUCUGGUUCCACCUGAGAAAUGGCUGUGGGACUCUGACCUGCCCUCUCUUCCACGGGCCUGCUCCAGCUCUCUUGUGUUCAACAGCAACCUUUCCAUUGACAUCAGCAGAGAUCUCCCAGGGCUCUGUGGAUUAUAAGGACCCAACACUGUGAACCAAACUCAGCUUUUCAGUAAUCUGAGCUCAGAAAAAUGAAGGUCAGUCGUGGGAGGAGAGAAAACUGCUGAGAACACAUCGAAAGGCAAAAGGUUUAAACCUCUGGCUCAUGGUAUCUUCCAGGAAAUCCACCACCAUAUUGUUUGCAGUGAUUAAA